Homarus americanus (American lobster) is the source of this 483-nucleotide long non-coding RNA. RefSeq lists it as uncharacterized. Lineage: Eukaryota; Metazoa; Arthropoda; Malacostraca; Decapoda; Nephropidae. The transcript is spliced from 2 exons. The record is from RefSeq and is a predicted model, not a curated record.
ACUACCUUCACCCUGGCUGGGAAGGAAGUUAAGUGCCCUCCCAUAAAUUUGUCCGGACUAAAGGAGGUGCCGGACCAUCAGUUCCCGGAAAAUUGGUGGUGUACCUGUAUUGUAAUAAUUAUAGAAAGCUGGAUGUCCGACCUGUUGUAGAAAUAUCUGGCCGGAUUGUUAUCGUAUAUCAUCCGGCCCAUCCCUAGCCCCAUGUCUGAUAAAAUUCCCAAAUUGAUCAUCUAGUUGAGAAUAAAACUUUUAUUUUUUCAAAGUUUCUUGUUAAUUUAUUCCUACAUCUUUAAUUUCACCACACCAGAUGCCACUUGACCUGUCCACUCUCUCUGAGGCUGAAAGGAGGAAACGUCUAGAAGCCCGUAAACCUAAACUAAAGGUAGUGAUUGAAGAUGAUCUUGAUGAUGACUUUAACCUCUCUACCUAUGAACACCUAUGGAAGAAGUAAUAUUCACUGUACUUGGAAGUUUUUAGAAAAUU